This 23-nucleotide non-coding RNA is filed under the name Cricetulus griseus (Chinese hamster). The record is from RNAcentral. Lineage: Eukaryota; Metazoa; Chordata; Mammalia; Rodentia; Cricetidae.
AAUGUGAGAGACUUAGAAAAAGA